RNAcentral lists this unclassified non-coding RNA (294 nucleotides) under Hevea brasiliensis (rubber tree). The record is from RNAcentral. Lineage: Eukaryota; Viridiplantae; Streptophyta; Magnoliopsida; Malpighiales; Euphorbiaceae.
ACCUACUUUUCUGAGACUGGAACAUUUUCAAAGAUUAAACCGACAUAAGUUAUGCAAAACCAACAUGAUCAGGCACACCAACUUGGCGGUGGAACUCAAAGUAGUUUUUCUGAUACGAGAACAAAAGCCAUCUUACAUUACCCAACUUGUAGUUGCUUCUACGCCAUAAAUAAUGUAACCAUUAGAUGAACUUGUCACGUGUGCAUUAAGGUUUUGGGAUUACUUAGUCAGGCUAAUAGAGUACAUAUUUUCAGCUCUACAUGCGUAUGUAUUAUUUAGCAUUUUUUUUUUUUU